RNAcentral lists this transfer RNA (76 nucleotides) under Spiribacter sp. RNAcentral's name for it is "tRNA-His". It matches the Rfam family "tRNA". From Rfam's summary of the family: Transfer RNA (tRNA) molecules are approximately 80 nucleotides in length. Their secondary structure includes four short double-helical elements and three loops (D, anti-codon, and T loops). Lineage: Bacteria; Pseudomonadati; Pseudomonadota; Gammaproteobacteria; Chromatiales; Ectothiorhodospiraceae. The record is from RNAcentral.
GUGGGCGUAGCUCAGCUGGUAGAGCUCCGGAUUGUGGCUCCGGUGGUCGUGGGUUCAAAUCCCAUCGCUCACCCCA